UUAGGAAUCUUCCACAAUGGGCGAAAGCCUGAUGGAGCGACGCCGCGUGAGGGAUGAAGGUCUUCGGAUCGUAAACCUCUGAAUCAGGGACGAAAGACACUUCGGUGGGAUGACGGUACCUGAGUAAUAGCACCGGCUAACUCCGUGCCAGCAGCCGCGGUAAUACGGAGGGUGCAAGCGUUACCCGGAAUCACUGGGCGUAAAGGGCGUGUAGGCGGACACUUAAGUCUGGUUUUAAAGACUGCGGCUCAACCGCAGGGAUGGACUGGAUACUGGGUGUCUUGACCUCUGGAGAGAGAACUGGAAUUCCUGGUGUAGCGGUGGAAUGCGUAGAUACCAGGGGGAACACCAAUGGCGAAGGCAGGUUCUUGGACAGAAGGUGACGCUGAGGCGCGAAAGUGUGGGGAGCGAACCGG
This 416-nucleotide ribosomal RNA is filed under the name Bacillota bacterium. RNAcentral's name for it is "Firmicutes bacterium partial 16S ribosomal RNA". It matches the Rfam family "Bacterial small subunit ribosomal RNA", at positions 355 to 776 of the family's 1533-position model. Lineage: Bacteria; Bacillati; Bacillota. The record is from RNAcentral.